UUGCCUACGGGGGGCAGCAGUAGGGAAUCUUCCACAAUGGGCGAAAGCCUGAUGGAGCAACGCCGCGUGGGUGAAGAAGGUCUUCGGAUCGUAAAACCCUGUUGUUAGAGAAGAAAGUGCGUGUGAGUAACUGUUCACGUUUCGACGGUAUCUAACCAGAAAGCCACGGCUAACUACGUGCCAGCAGCCGCGGUAAUACGUAGGGGGCAAGCGUUGUCCGGAAUUAUUGGGCGUAAAGAGUACGUAGGCGGUCUGUUAAGCGCAAGGUGAAAGGCAUAGGCUCAACCAAUGUGAG
RNAcentral lists this ribosomal RNA (295 nucleotides) under uncultured bacterium. RNAcentral describes it as "partial 16S ribosomal RNA". It matches the Rfam family "Bacterial small subunit ribosomal RNA", at positions 335 to 622 of the family's 1533-position model. The record is from RNAcentral.